Molecule: long non-coding RNA, 513 nt
Organism: Symphalangus syndactylus (siamang)
Lineage: Eukaryota; Metazoa; Chordata; Mammalia; Primates; Hylobatidae
Source: RefSeq, a predicted model, not a curated record
GCACGGUGGUUCAUGCCUAUAAUCCCAGUGCUUUGGAAGGAGGGAAGAUUGCUUGAGACCAGGAGUUGGGACCACUUUGAACAACAUAGCAAAACUUUGUCUCUACCAAAAGGUUUUUUUCCAUAUCUGAGUUUGGUAGCAUGCACCUGUAAUAAUCUUGGCUACUUGGCAGACUGAGGGAAAGACCAUGUGAGCACACAGGAAGAUGAACACCUUUUGCCAGCCAAGAAGAAAGCCCUCACAAGCAACCAAAUAGGCCAGCACCCUGAUUUUGGACUUCCCAGCUUCAAGAAGUGAGAGUAAAAAGUUUGUAUUCUUCAAGUCAUCCGGGUUACAAGCAGAGUAAGGCAGCUUCUUCCACUUGUUCAAAAUUCUACAUUUUAAAUUUUUAUGAUGUGUUUUGGUUGUUUUAAGUGCAACUUUGCAGUAUUUCUUAUGCUUUGGUGGCAUUUUCAGAAUACCAAAUAAAAGCAGGUUGAACAAUAAAGACAUUUAUUUUCUCAGUAAAACAAA